This 468-nucleotide ribosomal RNA is filed under the name uncultured bacterium. RNAcentral's name for it is "partial 16S ribosomal RNA". It matches the Rfam family "Bacterial small subunit ribosomal RNA", at positions 28 to 507 of the family's 1533-position model. The record is from RNAcentral.
GACGAACGCUGGCGGCGUGCUUAACACAUGCAAGUCGAACGGUGAAGCUCCAGCUUGCUGGAGUGGAUCAGUGGCGAACGGGUGAGUAACACGUGAGCAACCUGCCCCUGACUCUGGAAUAAGCGCUGGAAACGGCGUCUAAUACUGGAUACGAGAAGGGUCCGCAUGGGCACUUUCUGGAAAGUUUUUCGGUUGGGGAUGGGCUCGCGGCCUAUCAGCUUGUUGGCGAGGUAAUGGCUCACCAAGGCGACGACGGGUAGCCGGCCUGAGAGGGCGACCGGCCACACUGGGACUGAGACACGGCCCAGACUCCUACGGGAGGCAGCAGUGGGGAAUAUUGCACAAUGGGCAAAAGCCUGAUGCAGCGACGCCGCGUGAGGGAUGACGGCCUUCGGGUUGUAAACCUCUUUCAGCAGGGAAGAAGCGAAAGUGACGGUACCUGCAGAAGAAGCACCGGCUAACUACGUG